CGGAGGGAUCAUUAAAGAGUUCUAUAACUCCCAAACCCAUGUGAACAUACCUAACGUUGCCUCGGCAGGUCGCACCUACCUUGUAGCACCCUACCCUGUAGGGCCUACCCGGGAGGUGCGGGUAAGCCUGCCGGCGGCCCACCAAACUCUGUUUGAUAUUGAAUUCUGAACCUAUAACUAAAUAAGUUAAAACUUUCAACAACGGAUCUCUUGGUUCUGGCAUCGAUGAAGAACGCAGCGAAAUGCGAUAAGUAAUGUGAAUUGCAGAAUUCAGUGAAUCAUCGAAUCUUUGAACGCAUAUUGCGCCCAUUAGUAUUCUAGUGGGCAGGACCGUUCGAGCGUCAUUUCAACCCUUAAGCCUUCGUUGCUUAGUGUUGGGAGCCUACGGCAACGUAGCUCCUCAAAGUUAGUGGCGGAGUUGGUUCACACUCUAGACGUAGUAAUUUUUUAUCUCGCCUAUUAGUUGGACUAAUCCCCUGCCGUAAAACCCCUAAUUUAUCAAGGUUGACCUCGAAUCGGUUCAGACAAACUCGCUAAAUUGAAGCAUCUUAGUCAGCGAAGGAAAAGAAACCAACAGGGAUUGCCCUAGUAACGGCGAGUGAAGCGGCAACAGCUCAAAUUUGAAAUCUGGCCCUCGGGUCCGAGUUGUAAUUUGUAGAGGAUGCUUUUGGCGCGGUGCCUUCCGAGUUCCCU
This 693-nucleotide ribosomal RNA is filed under the name fungal endophyte. Its description in RNAcentral is "eukaryotic LSU rRNA". The stretch from base 191 to 344 matches the Rfam family "5.8S ribosomal RNA". Lineage: Eukaryota; Fungi. The record is from RNAcentral.